UCCAGGCGUGGUGGCAUACACCUGUAGUCCCACUUACUCGAGAGGCUGAGGCUAGAGGAUCAUUUGAGCCCAGGAGUUCUGGGCUGCAGUGUGGCUAUGCCAAUAGGGUGUCUGCACUAAGUUCGGCAUCAAUAUGGUGACCUCCCAGGAGUGGGGGGCCACCAGGUUGCCUAAGGAGGGGUGAAUCGGCCCAGGUCAGAAAUGGAGCAGGUCAAAAAUAAAGCAUAUCUCUGCGGUGCUCCAUCAUGUAGAUGGAAGUUAAGCCAGCUGACUAGAUUACAGAUAAAUCACUAU
RNAcentral lists this signal recognition particle RNA (294 nucleotides) under Erinaceus europaeus (western European hedgehog). RNAcentral's name for it is "Metazoan signal recognition particle RNA". It matches the Rfam family "Metazoan signal recognition particle RNA". Rfam says of the family: The signal recognition particle (SRP) is a universally conserved ribonucleoprotein. It is involved in the co-translational targeting of proteins to membranes. The eukaryotic SRP consists of a 300-nucleotide 7S RNA and six proteins: SRPs 72, 68, 54, 19, 14, and 9. The record is from Rfam by way of RNAcentral. Lineage: Eukaryota; Metazoa; Chordata; Mammalia; Eulipotyphla; Erinaceidae.